AUGCCGGUAAAUCUCAACAAGUAGUCCCGGCCCUUGAGCCUGCAGGAGGUGGGAGAGCGGCCACAGCACCCUCUGAAGGUCACCUAUGGCGGUGUGGUGGUGGAUGAGCUGGGCAAGGUGCUGGUGCCCACCCACGUUAAGAACAGACCCACCAACAUUGCCUGGGAUGGGUUUGAUCCAGGAAAACUGUAUACCUUGGUCCUGACAGACCCUGAUGCGCCCAGCAGGAAGGACCCCAAAUACAGGGAGUGGCACCACUUUCUGGUGGUCAACAUGAAGGGCAACGACAUCAGCAGUGGUGCCGUCCUCUUGGGUUAUGUGGGCUCUGGGUCUCCUAAGGGCACAGGCCUCCACCUCUGCGUCUGGCUGGUUUAGAGCAGGAUUGGCCGCUUAAGUGACAUGAGCCCAUUCUCAGCAACCACUCAGGAGACCACUGUGGCAAGUUUAAGGUGGCAUCCUUCUGCAAAAAGUACCAGCUGGGGACGCCAGUGCCAGCUUGCGUUACCAGGCCAAGUGGGAUGACUCCGUGCCCAUGCUGUAUGAGUAGAUGUCUGGGAAGUAG
This is an RNA transcript of Ochotona curzoniae (black-lipped pika), 562 nucleotides long. It is a transcript of the gene named phosphatidylethanolamine-binding protein 1-like, with no coding region annotated. Lineage: Eukaryota; Metazoa; Chordata; Mammalia; Lagomorpha; Ochotonidae. The record is from RefSeq and is a predicted model, not a curated record. The transcript has a single exon.